AGGGUGCCGGGGCUUCUCCCGUUUUAAACGGGACGGGAGAAGC
This 43-nucleotide transfer RNA is filed under the name Cyrtodactylus interdigitalis. Its description in RNAcentral is "partial tRNA-Cys". Lineage: Eukaryota; Metazoa; Chordata; Lepidosauria; Squamata; Gekkonidae. The record is from RNAcentral.